RNAcentral lists this long non-coding RNA (484 nucleotides) under Actinidia chinensis (golden kiwifruit). RNAcentral describes it as "long non-coding RNA (ACHI_LNC006941)". The record is from RNAcentral. Lineage: Eukaryota; Viridiplantae; Streptophyta; Magnoliopsida; Ericales; Actinidiaceae.
UCUCUCUCUUCUUUCUCUCACUUCCGCUUAUUUUAGUUGUGCUUGAGUCUUGAUCAGAUUCACAAUCACAUGAGAUCUGUAUGAUAACUAACGAUCAUCUAUCAUUGUUUAUAGUUAUCGCAAAUCCAACCACACAGCACGCAAGUAUUCAAGAGAAGAUCGAUGUAGAUUUCUCAUUUCUAUAGAAAAAACUAAAGAAUCCAUAAAUAAUUCAAAUCAGCUAUAAACCGGACAAUGUAAUGAACACCAAAACACCACCGCCCCCAUAAUCAACAGGCACCGUAAAAUAAAUAAAAUAUUAAAAUAUACUAAAUAAACCCUAACUCCACCCUAAGGUAAUGAAACUCCAGAUCAGAUCUAGAGCGACUCCGAGAUCAGAUUUAAAGCAACAACGACGCAGCGAAGAAUACUAUGGCGGUAGAUCCGCCGAUUGUGACUCUUUUCAACGCGGCGGCGUUAGGAGAAGAAGUCGGAGACUCCCCGG